This 263-nucleotide ribosomal RNA is filed under the name uncultured bacterium. RNAcentral describes it as "partial 16S ribosomal RNA". It matches the Rfam family "Bacterial small subunit ribosomal RNA", at positions 91 to 354 of the family's 1533-position model. The record is from RNAcentral.
CCGACCGGCGCACGGGUGAGUAACACGUAUGGAACCUGCCCGCAGCAGGGGGAUAAGCGGAAGAAAUUCCGUCUAAUACCGCGUAACACCGCGGAGGGGCAUCCCUCGGCGGUUAAAGAUUCAUCGGCUGCGGAUGGCCAUGCGGCGCAUUAGCUAGUCGGCGGGGUAACGGCCCACCGAGGCGACGAUGCGUAGGGGUUCUGAGAGGAAGGUCCCCCACACUGGUACUGAGACACGGACCAGACUCCUACGGAAGGCAGCAG